GUUGUAGCUCAGUGGUAGAGUGCUUGCCUAGCAUGUGUGAGCACUGGGUUCGAUCCUCAACGCCACA
RNAcentral lists this transfer RNA (67 nucleotides) under Marmota monax (woodchuck). RNAcentral's name for it is "tRNA.Ala". The record is from RNAcentral. Lineage: Eukaryota; Metazoa; Chordata; Mammalia; Rodentia; Sciuridae.